This 134-nucleotide small RNA is filed under the name pig gut metagenome. RNAcentral describes it as "Ribosomal protein L10 leader". It matches the Rfam family "Ribosomal protein L10 leader", at positions 16 to 133 of the family's 138-position model. From Rfam's summary of the family: This family is a putative r-protein leader autoregulatory structure found in B. subtilis and other low-GC Gram-positive bacteria. The record is from RNAcentral.
AAGCAUGUUGCCGAAGACAGUAGGUGCCGCAAGGCAUAACGUAUACGACCUACCGAGGACAGUCGAUCGUUUCUAAACGAUAUGAUUAUGAUUUUUUGAGCCUCUUUGUCUAGCGCAGAGAGGCUUUUGUUUUG